Molecule: ribosomal RNA, 361 nt
Filed under: uncultured bacterium
Lineage: Bacteria
Description: bacterial SSU rRNA
Rfam family: Bacterial small subunit ribosomal RNA
Source: RNAcentral
GAUGAACGCUAGCGGCAGGCCUAAUACAUGCAAGUCGAACGGUAACAUGGUCAGCAAUGACUGAUGACGAGUGGCGCACGGGUGCGUAACGCGUAUGCAAUCUACCUCUUACUGGGGAAUAGCCCGGAGAAAUCCGGAUUAACACCGCAUAAUAUAUUGUUGAGGCAUCUCAGUAAUAUUAAAUAUUUAUAGGUAAGAGAUGAGCUAUGCGUCCAAUUAGUUAGUUGGUGAGGUAACGGCUCACCAAGACGAUGAUUGGGUAGGGGUUCUGAGAGGAAGGUCCCCCACACUGGUACUGAGAUACGGACCAGACUCCUACGGGAGGCAGCAGUAGGGAAUAUUGGGCAAUGGACGAGAGUCU